RNAcentral lists this ribosomal RNA (254 nucleotides) under uncultured bacterium. Its description in RNAcentral is "partial 16S ribosomal RNA". It matches the Rfam family "Bacterial small subunit ribosomal RNA", at positions 524 to 776 of the family's 1533-position model. The record is from RNAcentral.
CACGUAGGGUGCGAGCGUUGUCCGGAAUUAUUGGGCGUAAAGAGCUCGUAGGCGGUGUGUCGCGUCGGCCGUGAAAACCUGCAGCUUAACUGCGGGCUUGCGGUCGAUACGGGCAUCACUGGAGUUCGGCAGGGGAGACUGGAAUUCCUGGUGUAGCGGUGAAAUGCGCAGAUAUCAGGAGGAACACCGGUGGCGAAGGCGGUUCUCUGGGCCUAUACUGACGCUGAGGAGCGAAAGCGUGGGGAGCGAACAGG